Molecule: long non-coding RNA, 10918 nt
Filed under: Malus domestica (apple)
Lineage: Eukaryota; Viridiplantae; Streptophyta; Magnoliopsida; Rosales; Rosaceae
Description: long non-coding RNA (MDOM_LNC002453)
Source: RNAcentral
ACAUUAAGUUUAACUGACUCCGCUGAAGCAUUAUCAGGAAUACAGGACUUAUCAGUAGUUAACUUCUCGUCGACAUAAUAAAACGAGGUCUCCUCAAUCCCUAACAGAGUGUUCUCGUAUCGAAAACCAGGUGCAAGCUUUGGAUUGACCAACAAUUCCUUGUGGAAAUUUGACUUCAAGUAUUGCUCCUCAAGAUCUUCGACACUCUUGUACAACUGAUUGAGACAGCCUUUCCAUGAAACAUUCCGCAUCUUUUCUAAUAUAAACCCAAGUGGGAGAGUCAAGAAACUGCAGAGUAGAUUAACAAAAUCCUCUUGUGCCUCUGCAUAACAAACAAUCUUCUUAGACUUGCUAACUACAAGCUUAAGAGAAAUGUUUUUCUCUUCCUCAUUGAUUGUGUCACCAUCCAUUUGAGAAUCAAUUGAUAUUCCUUGACAGGAAUGUACAUCUCCCAAACUUGGUAUUGGUUCGUUUUUCAGAAGAAUUUCAGUCAAUGGUGUCUUUGAUACAAACGAAUGCAUAAGCAAAUUCAAAGCCUGGAAAAAAAGACAUCAAGCUAGUUAGAAACCACUUCUAUUGUUGUUGAUGAAAAAAAAAAUUGAAGGCACACCCCACAAGAAAGAAAUACCUCCUGAACUCCCAUAUUGAAAGUCGACUCCUCUGUAGUUUUAGAAUCCGUGACCCCUAGCUUCGAAAACAAACAAAUGCUUGUUGCACUUACUGGGGAAAUGACCUGUAAAUCAUCGGUAAUUAUCAGCCUGGGUCGCCCUUUCACAAAUGCGCCUCCAACUUGAGUAUUAUCCACUGGAAUCUCCCCAGAAAUGGAAGAACCACAGGAAGGACAGGUGACACUUUUAUAAUAGCUAAAAAAGCAUCUUUGACAGCACUUAAAGUACCGUGUUGGCCAAUCUUUGUCAAAUUUCAACUUGAGGUUCUUGCAUUGAAGAUAUGCAGAAUUGCAGGGAAAUAACAACAUAACUUUACAAACAUUUGAUCGGAAGUUAUGCACAUCAAAUUUCAUAAUACUCUGAUACAAAUUUCUCAUACAACCUAUUUCCACCGGUACUGAACACUCAGCAAGCGUGACAAUUCUUCCCAUGGGCAUUGUCAAGAAACUGAAGAGAACAUCAAUAAAAUCACCGUCGGACUCUACGAAGAUAACUUUGUUGCUUCCCGUGUCCACCAAGGCCUUCAAGGUAAUAACAUUUUCAAGAUCCUCAUUCAACACAGCCUUUUUUUCAGCCAUGAUUGAAAGAAAGUAUAAAGUCGGCUUGCUAUCCUGUUGUUGAACAAAUUCAGUAAGCAAUUGUCACAAAUAUUUGUUGUAGGAUAAUGACAACCGAAAUAAAGCCUGUGUAGUCCGUGCCGAUGUUAAGUUGUUUCCCUCCUCAAACAUGAAAGAAGCUUCAAAAUACAAAUCAACUACUGGGAAAGAGAUAAAAUCUUGAGGAAAAAAUAGCUUAAGCUAUAGGAAACAGAUUAUCUAAAACCGGCAGACCCUAUUUUUAUUUGAAAAUCUUCUAGCAGAUAACAAAUAUGAUACUAAAAGAUUGAAAAAAAUAACCAUCUUAUUGAAUUCUCUGGAAAAAAAAAAAAAACGUUAAAAAAAAUCAUAAAUCUUUCUCAGAAAAUUUCCAAUAAUCUUUUUUAGAAUUGUGACUGUUUGGUUUUUGGUUUCAGUUAGUGAUAGAGGGGAUAUAUUUCGGGAGAGUUGAAACAAAAAUCAUUUCAUUUUCACUUUGAAGAUUUUGUUUUCAUUUUUUUCUUCCUUAUUUCUUCCCCUUUCUCGUCAUUUUCCCUGUAUACUUUCUUCGUGUCUCAAGCACAAAAAUGAAAAUCAGGACCUAAAAACCAAACCAAAAGGCCCGCAAUAUGACGUUGUUAUUUUCUUUUUUCAUUUUAUGUAAUAUGAAAUUUGAAGUGUCAACCUUUCUGAUAAAGGGAACCAUUUUGCGUAGAAAAGCUUGGAUUGAUCACAAGAAAUUAUAUAAGUACUACUAAUAUAGGAUCCAACAUGUUUAAAAAUAAAUAAGACAACAAAUAAGAGGUUCUUAAUUACCUUAGUUCAGAAACUCUUUCAACCUUCCAACAUGCAAAAUCUGAAUAUGUUACCCACAAACAUUAAUGAGAAUCCUAACUCAACAUCUCACGUAAACUUAACCGUACCAGAAAAAAAAAACAUGAAACUUGAAGAACAAACCUUCCUGGGUUGAAUUGGCGAGCCGAAGUAAUGGAUGAAAUAUACGAAAGCACACAAGGAAGAUCAUCGACUUUGGAGAGAAAAUAUAGUGAUAAAAAGUAAAGUGAGAGGAAGAAGUAAAGUGAUUGCUUUGUUUCACAACAUUAUCUUUUUUAUUUUGGAAAUUUUAACAAAAAGCUCUCAGUACUCUUUAACGAAAAAUCACAUUUUUACACUAAAAGUCAAUCAUAGUACUAUUCACUCUACCAUUUAUUUUGUCUUUAUUGUUAAAACUCAAAAUUUUCAAGCUUUUUUAAUUAGUUUUUUUUUUUUUUUUUUGGCUAGACACAACAUUAUCUUUUCAUAGCAGGAAUGGUGCAGUAGAUUUGACAUCAUUGGUUAAUUAAAAAAACAAUGCUAAAUAGACUCUUUUAAAUUGGAAUUCUCCAUCCUAUAAAAAAAAUUGGGAUUCUUUAUAAACUCUUUAUUAGUUUACAGCUUAAUGUCAAUUAUCAUGCCAAGUUUAUAAAAAAUUGUAAAUAAAAUAUGAGAUGACAUAUAAUUUAUAAAUAAUCUCAUUUUGAAAAAAUCUUAUUAACUUUUCAUAAGGAGAUGUUACCUAAAAGUAAUAAAAUUUUAUAUUUAAAAUUUCAAAGCGUUUGGAAUCCAAUUCACUAGUCUUCCUAGUUAAGGAUUGAGAUUGAUAGUUUUAAUGUUUUACAUUAGAUUUUUGUUGACGACGAGUUUGAUUUUUAAUAUGUGCCAUAUCACUUGUAUUAAAAAGAGUAGUUAUCUUCACAUAUUCAUUUUUACUUUGUACAUUUUUGUUAGUUUUUAUCUAUUAAUAUUAUUUAAUUUAUUUGAUCCAACAAUUGAAAAUUAAGAGGAGUGUGUGAGAAGUAAAAAUGGGUAUGUGGAUUGCACCACACAGAAAAAAUAUAUUGACAUUGCAUGACAAGUGCCCUUUUUGGAAAGCUAAAGCUAAAAUUAGACUUGGUAAUCGUGUCAUAUUUGUUGUGUUCGUGUCGUUUUCGUGACAUAUACGAUAUCUUCAUGGAACGUGUUGUGUCAAAUCCGUUAAAAUGAACUGAUAAUAUGAUAUGAACCAAACUCAACCGGUUAAAAUUAACGAGUAAUAUCACCCUAUCCGUUCCCAUUAAGAAAAUAUAUUUGACUUCCAUUAAUAAUCGAAUGAAAAACGUCAUACUAAAUUAGUAUCUACACAACACAUUGACAUAUUGUUUAAUUAAAAAAAAUGUCAAUGAGACUUUUAAAGUGAGACUCUUUGUAGAUUAUUUGUCAUCUCAAGACGUCAAUUUAUGUGUUAAUAUUAUAAAAUAUAAGAUAGCAGACUGUUCGUAGACUCCCACUUUUGAUAUAUUCUCCUUAGCUUUUGACAAGGAGAUGUUACCUAAGAGUGAAAGUAAGAAAAUUUUAUAUUUAAAAUUUCAAAGCGUUGGAAUCCCACUCACAAAUUUCUUCCUAGUUAAGGAUUGAGAUUGAUACUUUUAGGGGGGAUGUUUUAAGUUAGAUUUUUGUUAACCUCGAGUUUGAUUGUUUAUUAUGUGGCAUAGCAAUCGUAUUAAAAAAAAGUAAGGCUAUUUAAACACUUCUUUUUAUGUCUUAUACACUAUUAUUAAUUUUUAUUCGUUGAUUUUUUCAAUUCAUUUAAUUCAAGUACUAAAAAUUAAGAAAAUAUAUAUUGGCAUUGAAUGACUAGUGCCCAUUUUGAAAAGCUAUAGCUAAAGUGGUGGCCCAUAACAUGCACCUCUAGACUCAUGGUUUUUUUUUCUUUAAAAUGGUGGCCCAUAACAUGCACAAAAAUGUUUGAUCUUUAAUUUUAUGUUUUUUCCCUUUCUGAAAUGUAUAUUCUUGUACCGUUGAUCUGUUUGGACUGAUUCAGUCUGAGUACUCUGCUUGAUUAUGAUUUAAUUUAGUCCAAGAAAAUUACACAUAUUAUUAUAGCGUUUACACAAAACGCUAUGAUGAUGAUGUACUCGUGCUAUUAAAGUUGUUCUUGCCAUUACUCUAGCAGAAAAUAACCCAAAAAAUAGAAACAAGGGAAAUUAAAAGAAAAACCCAAAACCAAAGAACAAAGUCCAAAGUUUAAAUUUAAUAACAAAUGCAUCCUCGAUCCCCGACGAUGGUAAGGGAUGGAUGCUUAAUUAUAGCAAAGUCGCCAUGAAAGAAACUGUUGAAUAAGUGGCCAAGUGGCCAAAUGGACAACAAAACAAAACAACUUUCGGCUAAUAAACAAACCAAAAGGAAAAAAAAAAAAAGGUGAAAGACAAAAUGAUGAGGGAACAUAUGAUUAUGUUUGUUGAAAAGAAAAAUUGAAGGUCAUGAUGAUGUUUUUGAAUUUUUUAUUUGGUGCUUUUGUAUUGAUGAAGUGAGCAUACGGAAGUGAGAAAUAGAGAGGAAGUGUGCAUCAUUUUUUCUGUUUUAGUAGCCCAUCUUUGAGAGAGCAAAGAGAGCUGCAGAGAGCAGAAAACAGAGAGUAGAAAAGAAGAAGAAGGGCUCUUCUCUUUGGUUAGUAAUCACCCACCAAGGUAGUUGUUGUUAUAAUAGCUUUGAGCUUUGUAUAGAGAAGAAAUUAAUCAUUAUAUUUCUCUUUAUUUGUUUCUUUGGUGUGUGAAAACUAUUGGUUAUAUUGGGUUAUUUGGGUUGUGAGAUUGCCAACACUUUGUAAACUCCCAUUUGGUUGAUAGUGGAUUAUUGGGUGAGCUCCUACUGCUCCGAGGACGUACUCCAGUUACACUGAUUGUUGAGGAACCUCGUUAAAUCUUGGUGUUCUUUUAUAUUUUUAUUCUUGCAUUUCAUUUGAUAAAUUUCCUGUGGAUUAGCUUGAGUUGGUUCCAUUUGGUUUGGUGCUAUCCUAGCACAACAAGAAGCUACCUAAAAGUGGAAGUUUCAACCUUCAUAUAAGUUUUUCAAGCAACCAAUUCCCAGUGGAAAAGAAUAACGAUUGGAAAGCCUGAUAAUUGUUCCCACUGGAAUUGUCAAGAAACUGAAGAGAACAUCAAUUAUCACAAACGAACAAGUUUUUCAAAAAACACAAUGUAAAAAUAAUAUCAUCCAUAUAAGAACCAGGUCAGUGAGCAAUUGUCACAAAUAUAUUAUCUCAAACCGGCAAACCCUAUUUUUAUUUGAAAAAUCUUGCGAAUAGAUUGGAGAGAGUUAAGUGUUAAAAAGUAAACGGACCUGGUUUCUCUGUCAUUCUAGUUCUCAUACACUCUCAUUCAUUUUCAUUUGUGAGGUCACGGUUAAGCCACGUCAACAUUUUAUAUCACUAUUACCUUUUGUCUUAUUAUCUCUAUAAAGAAAAUUAAUAUAAAAUGUUGACGUGGCUUAACUGUGAUCGCACAAAAUAGGAGGGGAUGAGAAUGUAUAGGAAGUGAGAGGGUAGAGAAGUCGGGUCCAAAGUAAAGUGAUCGCUUUGUUUCACGACAUUUUCUUUCCACUGUUCAGUUUGACAUUAUUGUUUAAUUAAAAAAAGUAAAGUUAGGGAGGCGUCACCAUUUUUGCUUUCCACAAGAAUAGAUGUUACUUGAAAGCUAAGAAUUUUUUUUAUUAUGCCGGAAAUAUGGUUUAGUAUACCAAGUGUCAUAGUUAAAAAAUUUUAUUUAAAACUCCAAUCACUUGUUAUGAUAUUUUGUGUACUAAAUCGUGUUUUCAAUACACUAAAAAAAUCUCUCAUAAAGUGGAAGUAACAAUUUUAUAUCUAAAUUUAAAAGAUUUGGAAUCCAGUUCACUAAUUUCUUCCUAGUUAAGGAAUGAGAUUGAUACCUUUGGGCGUGAUGUUUUAGGUGACAAAGCACUCAUGUUAAUAAAAAGGAUAUAUUACACAAAACUACCUCAAUUAUAAGUCGAACCACAAUCACAUACCUCAUGUUUUAAACAUCACAAUGUUAUACCUCAACUUUUGAAUUCGUUGCAAUGUUAGAUCUCCGUUAAGUUUUCUGUCAAUUUAACUGUUAUACCUCAACUUUUGAAUUCGUUGCAAUGUUAUACCUCAACUUUUGAAUUCGUUGCAAUGUCCGAAUUAAGAGUUUUUUUUAUUUUAAGAAUUUUAACGAAAAACACUGGAGUGUUUAUUUUAACGAAAAAUCACAUUUUUACACUAAAAAGCCAAUCCUGUACUAUUUAUUUUAUCCUUUAUUUUGUCUAUAUCGUUAAAAUUCAAAGUUUUUAAGUUUUUUUCAUUAGAUUUUUUUAAUAUUAUAUUAGAUUUUUUAAUUAAGUUUAAUUGUUAAAUAAUUUUUUAUUAAUUAAUUUUUUAUUCCAAUUGGCAAAGGAGUGGGUUCUGCUCUUGUCACGUCAUCAUUUAAUAGGCAAAUUGACAAAAAAGUUAACGAAACUCUGAUAUUGCAAUGAAUUCAUAAGUUGAGGUAUUGAAAUGUUUAAAAUAUAAGGUAUGAGAUUGUGAUUCGAUCUAUAGUUGAAAUAGUUUUAGUCUAAAAAUAUUUAUUGACAUUGAAUGACUGGCACUCUUUUUGAAAAGCUAAAGCUAAAACGGUGGCCAAAAUGGUGACCCGAACUAGGCACAAAAGGUUUGAUCUUUAAUUUCUUGUUUUUUUCACUUUCUUAUUUGCCCUUGUACUGUUGAUCUGUUUGUACUGAUUCAGUCCGAGUAUUCCGCUUGAUAUGCUAAUAUAUAUUCAUCUAAUUUAGUCUGAAAAACUUACACGUAACGUUAUAUCAUUAUAUCAUCGACACAGAAUAUCAUAAUAACAGUAUCCAUGCUAUUAAAUUUAAGGGUUAAGAUCUGAGAGUUGAGGGAAGGGAAAUAAGCACAAUAGGUGGGGUGUUUGUGUGUGUGGUGGCGGUGGUAGGACUCCUACCGUAGGAGUCAGAGAAGGAGAUGGGGUGGGUGUAAAAGAAAGUGGUGGAGGAAGAUGGAAAAAAUGAAGUCCUUAAUCUCUAUUUUGUUCAAUGCGAUGCGAGGUAUACGAAUUGUCAGGGAUGAUGAAAUGAGAUCAUAUUUUGUAGAUCACAUUUAAAUUAUUUCUUUAAUAAAAAUAGGAUCCACAAGUACAGACCUGAACAAUAUCACAAAGUUCGCCUAGAUACAACCGAUCUUCAUCACAAUACAAACCAAACCCUACAUAUUCGACAGAAACUAACCGAAACUGGCCUAAAGCCAACCAGGUCCAAACUCCCUUCGCAACUAGAUCUCACAUUUUUCACUUUAUCUCAAACCCAAAUGUUACCAUGUAAAUAAAAAUUAGUCUCAGACAAACAGGAAAUACUGUGGAUUCCUGUGCAGUAACAACAAAAGCAAGCCCUUCUUUGUGUAACCAAUCCCUCCUCAUUGUUCUUGCUUUGGCUCCCUAAGCUCUGAAAUGAAGGUAUUGGUAAGAGCAGAAUCACCGAUAAAUGAGGCCGCCAAAAGAAGCAACGCCUGCAAAAAGAGUAACAAACUCUAACGUUAAAAGAAUUUAAACAGAUGACUAAUCUUACAUGUCCACAAAAUGGGAUGUCUUCAAAUUCAAGGCUUCAACUUUGUAGGUCAACGUAUGGAUUGACUCAAUUAAGUAUUUGAUUACUUGUUUGGGAUUGCGGUAUUAGAGAUGUUGGAUAAGAGGACGAAUCAGUCGAGGUGAUUUGUGUUGCCGAUGAUUCAUAAGGAAAUCCCGAGGGACAUGAAAUCUGGUAACAGAGAUUCCACAUAAACUAAUAAAGCAACACAUAAGUGGCUGAACAUCAACUGCCUGCGCUAGCUAGUUUGCCCGUCUGGAGUCAAAUCUACGAUUUUUCAAUAGGGAUCAUUUCACCAACCUGAUAUUCUGUUGACAUUUUCUAAAUUGAAUGUAAGCUCUCGAUUUUAUGAUAAACCAAUGGCCUAAAUUGUUAAAAGAACUUGCAAAUCUGAAACCAACGGAUUCUUUCAGUAAGGUUAAUCAAACAUUAUAAAUGACAACUCACUCACCUCCCUCUUGCCCACAUGCACGGUAUGAUCCUCGAUGUCAGUGAAAGGUAAUUCUUGAAGAACAGAGAUUUUAAGGAUUGGAGAUAUCACUCGUACAACUAGAAUGCCAGUCACUCUGAAGAUAGCAGGUCCUCUAAGAAAUCCUUCCACAGGAUCUGAAUGUUUACGAGCAAGCUCGAUAACUGUUCCCAUGGGGAUUGUCAAGUAACUGAAGAUAGUAUCAACCAAAUCAUUACCAGACUCCACGAAAAUAAUCUUGUUGCUUCCCUUGUCCACCAAGGCCUUCACGCAAAUAGUAGGAUUAGAAGCCAUUGAUUCUAAGGAUAAGACCUACAACGAACGUUGGCUAAACGAAAAUGGAGUCUAUUAUAAAGCAAUAGGUUUCUUUGGCAGGUGAAAAGCAUAAAGGUGAAUUCAAUAAGUUCUCUUGAUUUAUUGUAGAUCAUUUGAAUCAUGUUGGAAGACGAAGCAUCAGGUGAACCAAAUAAAUACAUUUACCAUUGUAAAUGUGGAAUUUUGAAAAGGAAGUCGUUUAGGUCGAAAUUGCAAACCUCAACGAUGACUUGAAGACUUUUCAAAGCUUCUUUAGCACACUGAGAACACGUCUUGAUACACAAGUGUCAACGUUUCGAUACACUAAUUAUCUCUCUAAUAAAAGUAGGAUCUACAAUACAAGGCCUCGUUUGGCACGCCGUAUAAAGCAUCGGAUAGGAUAAAUAAUACGGGAGCAGUUGUUUGGUGCACUAUCGUACUAAAUAAGCACCCGCUUAAUUAUCCGGUCUAUCAAAUUUUAUACGGUUGACACCGUACUAUUAAAACACCACAAAAGCUCGGGAUAAUUAGUCGGGGUGAUAUCCCUUCCAUCUUCACGACCACCACACCAAACCGACUGCGUCCGUGCUGUAGAUGUCCUGCUCCUGAACUUCUUCAAGCAUCGGAUCCACAUGCUGGUAGUCUAGAUCCAGAUAUGGAUCCAUUUCUACGACCUGAGUUCAGAUCCGGAUUCUCCAUAGCCUUUAGGUUCGAGAGCAGCCUCACCAUCCUCCCUGCUCACCUCGGUCUCUCGAUCCUGGAGCUUGCUCGCAGACCUCGCAGGGGCUAGACGCAGGGUGAUGAGAGUCGCAGUUGACGCAGAGGAAUACGGAGUCGAAGCGACAAAAUAGAGUUGUCGUCGCCGGGGAAGAAGAAUAAGGGAGAGAGAGGGAGGGAGUUUGGGGGUGCCGCGGAGAGAAGCGGGGAAGAAUUAUUUGGGAUGCUUUUGCAGUCGGGGAAGAAGAAGGAAGAGAGAGGGAGGGAGUUUGAUGGGUGCGGAAAGAUCUGCGAAAAAAAAAAAGAUGAUUUCACUUUUUUUUUAAGUUUUAUUCCUCUUAUCCGCUAUAAUACCAAUUUUAAGUUUUAUUCAUCUUAUCCGGUAUAAUACCAAACACAGUAUAAAUAAUACGGUCAUUAAUCCGAUACUGCACCAAACGCUCGACUAAUUUAGUCAAUACUAUCCGGUGGCUAUUUAUCCUAUUCGACAAAAAUAGUCAGUACAGUACGAGCUGCCAAACGAGGCCAGUACAGAGUUGAACAAUAUCACAAGGUUUGCCUAGAUACAACCGAUCUUUAUCAUAAUAGUUCGGCAGCCUUUUACCAAACCAAACCAUACAAAUUCGACAGAAACAAACCGAAACUGGCUAAAGCCAACCAGGUCCAAACACCCUUCGCAACCAGAUCUCAAAUUUUUCAUUUUAUCUCAAACCCAAAUGUUACCAUGUAAAUAAAAUUUAAUCUCACAGAUAGGAAUAUUGUGGAGUUCUUAUGCAGUAACAACAAAAGCAAGCUCUUCUUUGUGUGACCAAUCCUUCCUUAUUGUUCUUGCUUUGGCUCCCUAAGCUUUCCAAUGAAGGUAUUGGUAAGAGCAGAAUCACCAAUAAACGAGGCCACCAAAAGAAGCAACGCCUGCAAAAAGUAACAAACUCUGAAGUUAAAAGAAAUUUAAACAGAUAACUAAUGUUACAUGUCCACAAAAUGGGAUUCCUUCAACUUUGAAGGUGGACGUACGGAUUGGCUCAAUUAAGUGUUCGAUUACAUGUUUGGGAUUAUGGUAUCAUUUUCCAACAAUUGACUACCCUUGUUGUUUAGAGCAAUCAAUAACAUAACAUUGUGGACUGAUGCAAAUCAACAACCGUAACAAGGGAACUCCACUGACAGAUUAGAGAUGUUGGAUAAGAUCACUUAUCAGUCAAGGUGAUAUGUGUUGCCGAUGAUUCAUAAGGAAAUCCCAGAGGGACAUGAAAUAUGGUAACAAAAAUUCCACAUAAACUAAUGAAGCAUAACAUUAGUGGAUGAACAUCAAACUUUAUAAAUGACAAUUCACCUCCCUCUUGCCCAUAUGCACGAUAUGGUCCUCGAUGUCGGUGAAAGGUACCUUCAAUUCUUGAAGAACAGACAUUUCAAGGAUUAGAGAUAACGGUCUUACAACUAGAUUGUCAGUCACUGUGAAGGUAUCAGGUCCUUUCAGAAAACCUUGAGCACUUUUAUUGCUAUCUUCAUGAGAUUUGGGAUAAAAAACAUUAAGUUUAACUGACUCCGCUGAAGUAUUAUCAGGAAUACAGGACUUAUCAGUAGUUAACUUCUCGUUGAGAUAAUAAAAUGAGGUUUCCUCGAUUCCUAACAGAGGGUUCUCGUAUCGAAAACCAGGUGCAAGCUUUGGAUUGACCAACAAUUCCUUGUGGAAAUUUGACUUCAAGUAUUGCUCAUCAAGAUCUUCGACACUCUUGUACAACUGAUCGAGACAGCCUUUCCAUGAAACAUUCCGCAUCUUUUCU